Molecule: non-coding RNA, 273 nt
Organism: Vicia faba (fava bean)
Lineage: Eukaryota; Viridiplantae; Streptophyta; Magnoliopsida; Fabales; Fabaceae
Source: the annotation of a GenBank genome assembly
AUGUCGUUCGCCGUCUUCUUCAUUUCACUUUAUCUCCUUCAUCACAGACUCAAACGUCUCAACCUUGAUCUCCUCCGACUCGGUGAUACUCAGGCACGUAAUCGAUUCAAGAGAAACCAACAACUCAUCACAGAAACAAAUAGGAAAGAGAGUGAAACAGCGUUUACCUAUCAGAACUCGUCUGGUGCGUCUUCAAGCACGAAGAAGAUGAAAAGAAAUUCAGAGAGUCAUGCUUCACAUUCUUCAGGGAAUGAUACGAAGGUGCAGUUGUGA